RNAcentral lists this long non-coding RNA (366 nucleotides) under Ananas comosus (pineapple). RNAcentral describes it as "long non-coding RNA (ACOM_LNC032810)". Lineage: Eukaryota; Viridiplantae; Streptophyta; Magnoliopsida; Poales; Bromeliaceae. The record is from RNAcentral.
UCAAAUUUCAAAAUUUUAAAUUUAAUUUUUAGACGUAAAUUUUAAAUCAUUAAUUUUUAAUGUAGACUUUAAAAUUAAAAUUAUAUUUUAAUUUUUAAAUUUUAUAUUUUAAUAUUAUAUUUUAAGUCAAAAUAUUAAAUUUUUUAUUUUGUUCUAAUUUUAAAUUGAAAUUGAAAAUUUAAAUUAUUUUAAGAUGAAAUUUUGUCGUAAAAAUCAUUAUUUGUAAGAAAGAAAAUUUUUUUGAUUAACAAAUUUACAAUAUUAUUUCAGAAAAAUCAUUUUCUAUCUAAAUUCAGCUGAAAGCUCUAUAAAUUUUAACGAAAAUUGAUUUUUCAAAUCAAAAUUAAUUAUACGAAAACCAUUUCU